RNAcentral lists this ribosomal RNA (490 nucleotides) under uncultured bacterium. RNAcentral describes it as "partial 16S ribosomal RNA". It matches the Rfam family "Bacterial small subunit ribosomal RNA", at positions 30 to 507 of the family's 1533-position model. The record is from RNAcentral.
AUUGAACGCUGGCGGCAGGCCUAACACAUGCAAGUCGAAUGGUAACAGGAAACAGCUUGCUGUUUCGCUGCCGAGUGGCGGACGGGUGAGUAAUGUCUGGGAAACUGCCUGAUGGAGGGGGAUAACUACUGGAAACGGUAGCUAAUACCGCAUAACGUCGCAAGACCAAAGAGGGGGACCUUCGGGCCUCUUGCCAUCAGAUGUGCCCAGAUGGGAUUAGCUAGUAGGUGGGGUAACGGCUCACCUAGGCGACGAUCCCUAGCUGGUCUGAGAGGAUGACCAGCCACACUGGAACUGAGACACGGUCCAGACUCCUACGGGAGGCAGCAGUGGGGAAUAUUGCACAAUGGGCGCAAGCCUGAUGCAGCCAUGCCGCGUGUAUGAAGAAGGCCUUCGGGUUGUAAAGUACUUUCAGCGGGGAGGAAGGGAGUAAAGUUAAUACCUUUGCUCAUUGACGUUACCCGCAGAAGAAGCACCGGCUAACUCCGUG